UCGAACGGUAGCACAGAGAGCUUGCUCUCGGGUGACGAGUGGCGGACGGGUGAGUAAUGUCUGGGCAACUGCCCGAUGGAGGGGGAUAACUACUGGAACGGUAGCUAAUACCGCAUAAUGUCGCAAGACCAAAGCAGCCGGGACCUUCGGGCCUCUUUGCAUAUCCGGAUAUGGUGCCCGAGAAUGGGUAUAUAGGCUGUGUAGGUUGGGGAUACACGGCUCUCACCUCUAGCGCGAACGAUCCCCUAGCUGGUUCUGAGGAGGUAUGACCCAGCCCACACGUGGAAACUGGAGACACGGUCCAGAACUCUCUACGGGAGGCAGCAGUGGGGAAAUAUUGCACAAUGGGCGCAAGCUCUGAUGCAGCCCAUGCCGCGUGUAUGGAAGAAGGGCCUUCGGGUUGUAAAGUACUUUCAGCGAGGAGGAAGGCGUUGUGGUUAAUAACCACAGCGAUUGACGUUACUCGCAGAAGAGCACCGGCUAACUCCGUGCCAGCAGCCGCGUAAA
Molecule: ribosomal RNA, 507 nt
Filed under: Citrobacter freundii
Lineage: Bacteria; Pseudomonadati; Pseudomonadota; Gammaproteobacteria; Enterobacterales; Enterobacteriaceae
Description: bacterial SSU rRNA
Rfam family: Bacterial small subunit ribosomal RNA
Source: RNAcentral